Small nuclear RNA from Schistocerca cancellata (South American locust), 186 nucleotides. RefSeq annotates it as U2 spliceosomal RNA. The record is from RefSeq and is a predicted model, not a curated record. The transcript has a single exon. Lineage: Eukaryota; Metazoa; Arthropoda; Insecta; Orthoptera; Acrididae.
AUAUUUCCUCUAAAUAGUUUGUGGUCUAGUGAAAAAAUGUGUUCUUAUCAGCUUAAUUCUGUUACGUUCUGCAUUACAGGACUAAAAUAUUAAACUUAUUUUUGGCUCAUGACGUGAUGAUAAAAAUAUGUUCUAAUUCUGUCACUGUAUGCCUUCUCACUUUCGAACUAUCUUAAGCUGGUCAAA